This 957-nucleotide long non-coding RNA is filed under the name Monodelphis domestica (gray short-tailed opossum). RNAcentral describes it as "lncRNA (ENSMODG00000041223.1)". Lineage: Eukaryota; Metazoa; Chordata; Mammalia; Didelphimorphia; Didelphidae. The record is from RNAcentral.
CCACCUGCUCUCUGGCUGCCGCCCCGCGGCCACACAGAGAUGAUGUUCCUUUCACCUGGCCGAAGCCGGGGUUAGGGUCGGGGUCUGGAUGACCAGCACCACUCACAAACGCAGGCAGCCCCUCUGGGUCCGUGGCUGCCGGGGUCUUAGCUGGUAUUUGGACUAGACCCAGAGCGAAGAGGUGACUGUCGCUUUAACAAACCCUCUGGAAUCUCAGCUGGGACCUGGAAGGUGCUGAAAGAGCCAACCCACGCGCCUGCGUAUAGGCUGGUUGAGAGGCCCACCUCUCCCUCAUUGGCGCUAGGCCUCAACUGAGUCAUUGCUUUGUCACCGCCUUUCCCAGCGUGAAGAGGAGCAGGCAGAGCGUGAUCAGAAAGGCCAGGCCAAUGAGAAAUCGAGGAGGGCAUCGGGGGCGCACGUGCUCAGAACUCUGAUUGGAGGAUGGAAGGCACCGGCCCGGGAAAGGACCAAUGAAAAGAAGUACAAUAAAGACACUUUCAUUGAACUCCUCAUUUAUGCCUAUUAUGCAAGGAUGAUGUUCAGCAAACUUUAUGACAGAGGGAAACAGCUGGUAAAGUGGGUUCAUGGAAAGGUGAAGGGAGGAUAUAUUUUGAUGUUAUUCCACUCCUCACCCUCUGUUCCCAGGAAGGUGGUUGUAGAGGUUCAAUGACAGUCAGAACUAGCCACAAGGAAUACAAGGGCUAAGCUGAAACCUGCUGCUCCACAUGUUGGAAAGGAAGAAGAAAAGUCAAACACUUAGAGAAAGCCUCCUCAAAUCAACAAAAAGGAGAGAAAAUAGAGAGAGGGGAAGAAACAGAAGAGCCUCUGUUUCAUAGUCUUCCAGGAAUAAGGAUAAAAAAAAAACAAACCUGACAUAGAACAUGCCUCCUGUCCUAUAAAAAUGAAAUGAAAGAAUGAGUUUAAGCCUUAUAUCUUCAAGGCCCAUUUGUUAGAUCC